AAUGUUUUAAUAUCCCGAUUCAUUUUUAGACGGCUCGGUUAGGCCAAAACAAACAACUGUAGUUGCUAGCUGGACCACCAAAACUUCAACCUCUCGAGUAUAAUUGAAUUGAUGGAUUACAAAUGCUACAGAUUGUUUGAUUGUGAUUGUAUGGUUUCGUAGCCUCAUAGAUAACAUCGGCUUAUCCUGAUUCCAUUUACAUAUAUUUCUGUGCAAACCUCCCUUUGUACCUAAAUCAAACUAGAAAACGUGUCAAUGUCGAUAGACCACCCCACCAAAAAAGUUAAGAAUAACCCAA
This 298-nucleotide long non-coding RNA is filed under the name Brassica rapa (field mustard). RNAcentral describes it as "long non-coding RNA (BRAP_LNC000741)". The record is from RNAcentral. Lineage: Eukaryota; Viridiplantae; Streptophyta; Magnoliopsida; Brassicales; Brassicaceae.